RNAcentral lists this long non-coding RNA (770 nucleotides) under Daucus carota (carrot). Its description in RNAcentral is "long non-coding RNA (DCAR_LNC002339)". The record is from RNAcentral. Lineage: Eukaryota; Viridiplantae; Streptophyta; Magnoliopsida; Apiales; Apiaceae.
CCAGCUACAAAGAUAAUAUUUCUAAGAGAUUUCCCCUCCAUCAUAGGUCCAUGUCAACAAAGAAAAACCAGACAGGAAUGAACAACUUAAAACCGAAGUAACACUGAGAUUACAUGCAUAUUUACAGACAAAGCUUGAGUAGUUAUCUUCUUAGGACAACUCCCCUUGAACUAGGACUGACGAUCUGCACAAUAGAUUUAUAAUUGUGAUCAAUCAUAGUAGCCGUCGGGACUAAACUUGUUCUUGAUCCACUUGAAGCUGUUUCUGAAAGAAGACUUGAGCCUACCUUCCACAGUAUACAUAUUAUAGUUUGCUACUCUCUUCCUCCUCUUGCCCUCUGGAUUAUCUCCCGGCCCGUGCCCGUUGAAGCUAAAGGAUUUGCUACGAUCCUCAAACCCGAAUCGAGCUUCGACGUAUGAACCCGAAUAGUCUGGAAAUGAUUUGCUUUUAUCCAUAAUCUUGAGAGCUAGUUACCUCUUCUUGAGAAGAAGAUGCCUGGAGUUGGCAUUUUAUAACAAAAUUUAAAACAUGCUGAACAAAAUGUAAAAAACAUGGCAUUGGGUAGAUAGAUUAGUGCGGUCUGCAUGGGCCACGAGGGGACUUGAUUUGAUGAAAAGAUGAUAAUGGAGAUACGAUUGUAGCAUUAGAAGAGUGAUGAUACUUUCACAUCUAUAAUGCCUAAUCAUGUCUUGUACUGUUAUAGUGUUAAGAUGUUAAAAUUUCAUUAGGGGGAGGAUAUUGCAUCAAACAAACUUUUAGCUGCAACGCAA